GAAAAAUAUAUAGAAAACAACUUUUAAACUAAAAUUUUAUUUGAAUACAAUCUAUAAAAGAUUGAAAAUUACAUUUAGCUAAUAAAUUGACUAAAACUAAACGUUAUUGCUUUCUAUGAUAACGUGUUCAAGGUUUGUUCAUACAAUCUUCGAGGUAAGCUGCAUCACCUCGGGAUCUUUCUCGUUUUCUUGCUUACCUCUAAUCACAGACUUGAU
Molecule: long non-coding RNA, 216 nt
Filed under: Mytilus galloprovincialis (Mediterranean mussel)
Lineage: Eukaryota; Metazoa; Mollusca; Bivalvia; Mytilida; Mytilidae
Source: RNAcentral